This 491-nucleotide ribosomal RNA is filed under the name uncultured bacterium. RNAcentral's name for it is "partial 16S ribosomal RNA". It matches the Rfam family "Bacterial small subunit ribosomal RNA", at positions 29 to 507 of the family's 1533-position model. The record is from RNAcentral.
AGUGAACGCUGGCGGUAGGCCUAACACAUGCAAGUCGACCGCAAGACAAGUAAGAGUUUGUUUUACCGGGUGGGGAGGGCCGGCCGGGGGGGGAUAAAACCGGAACUUAUUUUUUGGUGGGGGUAACGGAGGGGAAAUUACCCUAAUACCCCCUACCGCCUACCGGGUGAAACAAGGGGACUUUCGACCUUUGCCCGAUUAAUGGGGCGAUGUCGGAUUAGCUUGUUGGCGGGGUAAAGGCCCACCAAGGCGACGAUCCGUAGCUGGUCUGAGAGGAUGAUCAGCCACACUGGAACUGAGACACGGUCCAGACUCCUACGGGAGGCAGCAGUGGGGAAUAUUGGACAAUGGGCGCAAGCCUGAUCCAGCCAUACCGCGUGGGUGAAGAAGGCCUUCGGGUUGUAAAGCCCUUUUGUUGGGAAAGAAAAGCAGCAGGUUAAUACCCCGCUGUUCUGACGGUACCCAAAGAAUAAGCACCGGCUAACUUCGUG